This 253-nucleotide ribosomal RNA is filed under the name uncultured bacterium. Its description in RNAcentral is "partial 16S ribosomal RNA". It matches the Rfam family "Bacterial small subunit ribosomal RNA", at positions 524 to 776 of the family's 1533-position model. The record is from RNAcentral.
UACGUAGGGUGCAAGCGUUGUCCGGAAUUAUUGGGCGUAAAGGGCUCGUAGGCGGUCCAUCGCGUCGGGAGUGAAAAGCUGGGGCUUAACCCCAGUCCUGCUUCCGAUACGGGUGGACUAGAGGUAGGUAGGGGAGAACGGAAUUCCUGGUGUAGCGGUGAAAUGCGCAGAUAUCAGGAAGAACACCCGUGGCUAAGGCGGCUCUCUAGUACGGUACUGACGCUGAGACGCGAAAGCGUGGGGAGCGAACAGG